Pelobates cultripes (western spadefoot toad) is the source of this 212-nucleotide non-coding RNA. NCBI's taxonomy places the organism in Eukaryota, Metazoa, Chordata, Amphibia, Anura, Pelobatidae. The record is from the annotation of a GenBank genome assembly.
CAUCAUUACCACUACAAAGACUUUUAGUCACUUACUUGCCGCCCACAACGUGGGGAACCUAAUGCACAUGCGCUCAGUACUUUCCUAUGGGGAUUUAGAGGACACUGAAUGUCCCCAUGUAAAAAGCGAGGACAUCCAACGUCUUUUAGCAGAGUCGCGCCUUUAGCCUCUUAAGGACUGAGCCAAAUGUACCCGUUGUGAUCAAAAUGAAA